CCUACGGGGGGCUGCAGUGGGGAAUAUUGCACAAUGGGGGAAACCCUGAUGCAGCGACGCCGCGUGAGUGAAGAAGUAAUUCGUUAUGUAAAGCUCUAGCAGCAGGGAAGAAAAUGACGGUACCUGAGGAAGAAGCCCCGGCUAACGACGUGCCAGCAGCCGCGGUAAUACGUAGGGGGCAAGCGUUAUCCGGAUUUACUGGGUGUAAAGGGAGCGUAGACGGCAGGGCAAGUCUGGAGUGAAAGGCGGGGGCUCAACCCCCGGACGGCUCUGGAAACUGUACGGCUGGAGUGCAGGCGAGGUAAGUGGUAUUCCUAGUGUAGCGGUGAACUGCGUCGAUAUUAGGAGGAACCCCAGUGGCGAUGGCGGCUUACUGUACUGUAACUGACGUUGAGGCUCGAAAGCGUGGGGAGCAAACAGGAUUAGCUACCCCAGUAGUC
This 440-nucleotide ribosomal RNA is filed under the name uncultured bacterium. Its description in RNAcentral is "partial 16S ribosomal RNA". It matches the Rfam family "Bacterial small subunit ribosomal RNA", at positions 338 to 795 of the family's 1533-position model. The record is from RNAcentral.